Molecule: ribosomal RNA, 253 nt
Filed under: uncultured bacterium
Lineage: Bacteria
Description: partial 16S ribosomal RNA
Rfam family: Bacterial small subunit ribosomal RNA
Source: RNAcentral
UACGUAGGUGGCAAGCGUUGUCCGGAAUUACUGGGCGUAAAGGGCGCGUAGGCGGCACGGCAAGUCAGGAGUGAAAGGCCUGGGCUCAACCUGGGAAUUGCUUUUGAAACUGCCGAGCUAGAGUGCGGAAGGGGCAACUGGAAUUCCCAGUGUAGCGGUGAAAUGCGUAGAUAUUGGGAAGAACACCUGAGGCGAAGGCGGGUUGCUGGGCCGACACUGACGCUGAUGCGCGAAAGCCAGGGGAGCGAACGGG